GAGGAAGAUGCCUGAUAAAGGAUUAUUUUGAUGUAAUAAAUUAUGUUUUAAAAACUCUUCUU
This 62-nucleotide transfer RNA is filed under the name Aacanthocnema dobsoni. Its description in RNAcentral is "tRNA-Ile". Lineage: Eukaryota; Metazoa; Arthropoda; Insecta; Hemiptera; Triozidae. The record is from RNAcentral.